CCUACGGGAUGCUGCAGUGGGGGAUAUUGCACAAUGGGGGAAACCCUGAUGCCGCGACGCCGCGUGAGUGAAGAAGUAUUUCGGUAUGUAAAGCUCUAUCAGCAGGGAAGAAAAUGACAGUACCUGACCAAGAAGCCCCGGCUAAAUACGUGCAAGCAGCCGCGGUAAUACGUAGGGGGCAAGCGUUAUCCGGAUUUUAUGGGUUUAAAGGGUGCGCAGGCGGAGGUGCAAGUCAGCGGUAAAAUUGCGGGGCUCAACCCCGUCGAGCCGUUGAAACUGGCAGGCUGGAGUUGGCGAGAAGUACGCGGAAUGCGCGGUGUAGCGGUGAAAUGCAUAGAUAUCGCGCAGAACUCCGAUUGCGAAGGCAGCGUACCGGCGCCAGACUGACGCUGAGGCACGAAAGCGUGGGGAUCGAACAGGAUUAGAUACCCGGGUAGUC
This 439-nucleotide ribosomal RNA is filed under the name uncultured bacterium. Its description in RNAcentral is "partial 16S ribosomal RNA". It matches the Rfam family "Bacterial small subunit ribosomal RNA", at positions 338 to 795 of the family's 1533-position model. The record is from RNAcentral.